CAACUUUCAACAAUGGAUCUCUAGGUUCUCGCAUCGAUGAAGAACGUAGCAAAUUGCGAUAACUAGUGUGAAUUGCAUUUUCAGUGAAUCAUCGAGUCUUUGAACGCAUCUU
RNAcentral lists this ribosomal RNA (112 nucleotides) under Backusella recurva. RNAcentral describes it as "5.8S ribosomal RNA". It matches the Rfam family "5.8S ribosomal RNA", at positions 1 to 112 of the family's 154-position model. From Rfam's summary of the family: 5.8S ribosomal RNA (5.8S rRNA) is a component of the large subunit of the eukaryotic ribosome. It is transcribed by RNA polymerase I as part of the 45S precursor that also contains 18S and 28S rRNA. Lineage: Eukaryota; Fungi; Mucoromycota; Mucoromycetes; Mucorales; Backusellaceae. RNAcentral also lists the same sequence under 1 other name. The record is from RNAcentral.